UCUCAUUUUAUACGAGUUUUACUACAUGUACUCCUAAUUUUAUUUCCUCACUUUUACUCCAUGACAUGACAAACAAAGAUUGGUUAUUUUC
Molecule: long non-coding RNA, 91 nt
Organism: Ipomoea nil (Japanese morning glory)
Lineage: Eukaryota; Viridiplantae; Streptophyta; Magnoliopsida; Solanales; Convolvulaceae
Exons: 3
Source: RefSeq, a predicted model, not a curated record